Molecule: ribosomal RNA, 332 nt
Filed under: uncultured Dokdonella sp.
Lineage: Bacteria; Pseudomonadati; Pseudomonadota; Gammaproteobacteria; Lysobacterales; Rhodanobacteraceae
Description: bacterial SSU rRNA
Rfam family: Bacterial small subunit ribosomal RNA
Source: RNAcentral
UGCGUAGGCGGUUGGUUAAGUCUGCUGUGAAAGCCCUGGGCUCAACCUGGGAACUGCAGUGGAUACUGGCCAGCUCGAGUGUGAUAGAGGAUGGUGGAAUUCCCGGUGUAGCGGUGAAAUGCGUAGAGAUCGGGAGGAACACCAGUGGCGAAGGCGGCCAUCUGGAUCAACACUGACGCUGAGGCACGAAAGCGUGGGGAGCAAACAGGAUUAGAUACCCUGGUAGUCCACGCCCUAAACGAUGCGAACUGGACGUUGGGAGCAACUUGGCUCUCAGUGUCGAAGCUAACGCGCUAAGUUCGCCGCCUGGGGAGUACGGUCGCAAGACUGAA